Pseudopipra pipra is the source of this 2798-nucleotide long non-coding RNA. RefSeq lists it as uncharacterized. NCBI's taxonomy places the organism in Eukaryota, Metazoa, Chordata, Aves, Passeriformes, Pipridae. The transcript is spliced from 2 exons. The record is from RefSeq and is a predicted model, not a curated record.
CUUCCAGCUCUCCCUCUCAUCAUGUAUUACCCUCCUCUGUUUUCAGGCUACAGGAGCUACAGGAUUUAGCAGCCAGUGACAGGAAUAGGCCUGCAAAAACCUGCCAAAUGUGGAGAAUUAACUCCAGUUCUAAAGGCUGAGCCUUGGGGCAAGGCAUGUGAAUGGGGGUUUCCUAUUCAGGUUCCAUGUAUAAUCCAAAGGCUUUGAAGAGCCAGGAAGGUUUGUUAUGGGAUGAUGGGUGACUCCUGCUCCCCAGGUGAGCUUUCCUUUACAUUGGCACACAUUUAACUCCAGGAGUUACAAUGCUUAUCGCUGCUAUGUAUUACUGUUUGCAGAGUUUUGAAGCUGUGUAAGCAGCUGGAGGUCAUUGAAGGCUGCUGGUUACUGCAGCCAAACAGGUCUCCUCAGAUGGCAGGAGUAACUGGGCUUUCCAGGGCUCCAGUACAAGCAGAGCUGGCAGUGAGACCAAAGUCACUCCUCCUAGACAGUUUGAGUAUGUCUAACAGCCACCCCUCCAUACCUCAGUGAGGGUAUAAGUACUGAGCAUUAGGACCACACUGGAGAAAAAGUUUUGGCCUGUUCUCUGCCGAUAGUGAAACAUGACGGGAAUAUGGGAGGUGAACAGUCUUGCCCAGGGUCCCUGAGAGUGGUUCACUGCAGCACAGGGCACUUCCACACUGAACUCAUCACAAGUCUCAGGGGGAUGAAAAGCCAACUACAAGACAGAGGAUGACAGACUUGGCACAGGAUGGUGCAACAAGGAAUGAGCAUACACGAUAACCUAUCUGUAGUUUCUUCCAAGUUUAUUCACACAGGAAGAUGGUGAGAGGUUUUGGAUAUUUAGGCAUGUUGAUUACAUAUUUUUUGCUUCAUUGUCUUUUUGUUUUAAAUGCUGGUAAAAUCAGCACUGGAAUGGGAAGAGGCAAGGGAAAAGAGGGGAUGGACAAACUACUGUACCAACUGCUCUCAUUUUUAUAAUCCCAAGCAGAAACCCUGUGAGCUCUACCUUGUGAGGGAAGUGGAGUGAGCUUUUCAUUCUGUGCACUCCAGGUGAAAAUAUACCCACUGGUAAACUACUUUCACCAGCACUUUCAUAUGCACUCAUUCACACUUGCUCCCCAAAGCUAAUCUUAUUAGUGUAGAUGGACUGAGUGAGUAACCAGAUGGGCCAGGUUUUGUUUUGUGUCUGCCUGCACAGAACUCAGAGAAUACAAGACUAGGGAAAAGAAAUAGCAGGUGAAUGUCCACAGCAAGAAUCAUGAACGUGAUAACUCCUACUCUAAAGGGAGUCCCUAAAGCCUCUUCAAACCAUCCUUUUGUCAUGACUGAAGAGCUGACAUAUAUGCUUACUUAAAACCUAUUCAAAAACCAUGGUCUAUAUGAACUGGACAUUUGUUCUUCUUUAUAUAGAGACUGACAAAUCCUUUUAUAUAGUUACAGCUGUUUAAGGCAGAAAGUAAGUCUUUGACUCCGCAAGGAGGAGGAGUGACUCAAUCAAGCCCUACUGCUAGCAAGGAUGACAUACAAGGAUCAACAGUGUUGUCAUGAAAUAUGUAAUAAUAUUUACAACUGAUUAUCUACUGGUUAUGUAUUGUGUACUGAUUAUGCAGAAACAGCCUUAAAUGUUCACAGAAAUACUAUGCAGCAGUUCAGAACCUUUUACUUCUGGAAUGCCUCUACCACUGCUCUCAGUUCUCAUCCAUGAUACAACGUUUUUGGGUGCACAGUGCCAAGCUCACCAGGCAAGUGACUUUGCAGGAGGAAUCAUUAUGGUCCAUGAAGCCAGUGAAAGCCUCCUCCUCUGAAUAGUUUUGGUUCAUAGUUACCUUGUGGGAUUGAACUAAACAUGACAGAGUUAAACACUGCUCUCAAACACUUUCAAACAAGCUCAUGUUUAUUUUUGUUAUUUGCAUUUCAGCAUCAUCUAAACAUAGUAACAGAUCUAUCACAGAGGGCUUGAAUAACAGAGUGGUAACAAGAGCCAGAAGAACAAGCUGCCCAGACUUCACACAUAUGCCAAAUCACUGCUGGACACUCAGAAUUACAGUGUCACCCCAGCUCUCCAUACAAAUGCCAGAUUCAUGCACAAAAUCGACAUGUUCAAAGAUACAGAUACAUUUGACCAACUAGGUUGUUUCAGUACAGAGUAAUUUAGUAAGAUAAUACAUGAAAAACUCCACAUAACUCUUCAGCUGCGAAUAAAACUACAACUGCCUGUGAGCCAGGGUGUGACUCCCUGUCACAUCACCACUAUUUGAAAGACAGCACCAUGGGGUGACAUGAGCUCCCCCGAUUUUUCCUUAGCAAAUUUGCACUAGUAACUAACAACUGGCGGUGGGAAAACCACUACUUGUGUAGCUGAUAUCCGUGAGUGAGACUUCACAACCAGUUUAAGUCAGCUGAAGACUCUGAUGCUGCGAAAGGGCUGUGGAAGACAGAAAGGGCCCUUCUUACAGCACCAUCUGCUUAAGUUGGGGGUUAGGUGUUACAUCAAACCCUUUGUCUCACCUGCAAAAUAUGGAUAUCAGAGGGGGUAUGAGGUUUAAUUUAAAAACUAGCAAGAGCUCUGGGUUACCUGGUAUAGGAAGUUAAGUGUGAGGUUCUGUCAGGUGGAAAUGCAGCCUGCCAAUAACUGCCAUACUGGCAUAAAUGGCAAAUAAAAAGUGUGCUGGAAGGAAAUAUCCUACCUCCCUAACUAGCCCAACAAAGUGCCUGCUGAAGUGAUGAAAUCACUGAGUGCUGCUCAGUUCCCCAGAAGUGUAUUCUCCCUAAACGCAGCACGACUGCCAUGAAUUAGG